CGGAUGUCAGGGAUUGGGUUCCAGUGUUCCUGUGCGUGGAAUAUGAGAUUCUUUUUUUCAUCUGAGUGGUAAACAAAGACAAUCCAAUGUCACAGAUAUGAUGGAAUGUACAGGAGAUUGGACCUGAAAUUUCCAAAACAUGUUCAGACAGAUUUUUCUGUUUCACCAUCAUCUAAAUGCACGCAAUGUUACCAUGUGUGAAAGGGGCAGGGCUGUUUAUUUGGGGGCUUAUAUGAUGAUGGGCACAAUCACACUGAGAUAUUCUCUAGAAGAAGGCAAUACCGCCCAUCACUCGAACUGCCGCUAUGUCCAAGGUGUUCUGUGCGAGUGUGAUCUUGUUCCUCCUGACCACCCUGUGGUCUCACCACACAGCCCAGUCUUCGAAAAUUCCGGCAAAGAGCAGACUGCCAUUCCCAUGCAAAUGCAACUAUCUGUCCUCUAAGAAAUUGAUCUGUCAAAGAGGUUACACCUUAAAAACACUUGAGGAGACAAAGGAACAGCUCAGAUGUCUUUGCAAGGCAUACUACCAAGGAAAGCUGCAGAGCCACAGUCCUGACUUAAAGAAGUUGUGCAAGACUUGGUUUUAUAAGAUACCCAUUCCACUGCCACUGGUCUAAGUGUGUUUGUGUGUGCCUGAAUAUGGAUCGUGAAGAGGCUGGAGGCAGGUGGCCUCAGUACCCAUUAUGUCUCUGUAUUUACCCAUUGAUGUUUCGCUGUCAAACAGGCUGUAGGUCACUGGUAACAUUUGCAAGAUAGAAUCAGUUUUAUGAAAACUUUUUUAAAAUUUUUAAGACCAGUGUGCGAGCGAUAUAUGAAUAUAAUCAUUUCCUGUCUUCAAAAACUAUAGGUAGAACUUUUUGGCCUAUGGCAACCAAACUGUUGCAGGCAUAGGAAAUUUUUUUUACCUUAUUCUACUGUUGACAACAGCAGCAUGGAAUGAUGUGUUUUAAUUAGAGCAAUAAAAAAUAAUGUGGACCUCUAGGGAAAUUUUAG
Molecule: long non-coding RNA, 993 nt
Filed under: Scleropages formosus (Asian bonytongue)
Lineage: Eukaryota; Metazoa; Chordata; Actinopteri; Osteoglossiformes; Osteoglossidae
Description: lncRNA (ENSSFOG00015032551.1)
Source: RNAcentral